Molecule: long non-coding RNA, 323 nt
Organism: Malus domestica (apple)
Lineage: Eukaryota; Viridiplantae; Streptophyta; Magnoliopsida; Rosales; Rosaceae
Source: RefSeq, a predicted model, not a curated record
AUGCAAUGUGCGAUUCUCCUUUGGAUUCCCGCUCAGUUUUCGACGGGCUGAAGAGGAAGAACUUGUUCCAGUGGAAUGCGCUUGUUAGUGGGCAAUGCGUUGAUUGCAAUGUAUGGGAAAUGCGGGUCAGUUGAGGAUGCAGCUAAAGUGUUCGAGAUAAUGCCUGACAAGAAUUGUAAUUUGUUUGAAUUGUAAUUUGCUUUUAUUGAUAAUAAACCUAUUAUGCAACGUUUUUAUAACAUGAAAUAUCGUCGGCAAUAAUUGUAAUUUGUUUGUAUUGAUUAAUUAUGGAAGAUAUUACUAUAUUAAAAAAUUUAAUUGUU